GACAGGAAAGCGGAGGGGAGGGGGGAAGACAUGACAGAAAUGGUCGCAGUUCAGAUUUGAACCCUGCAGCUCUGCAUCAAGGUAUAAACCUUGAAGCAU
This is a long non-coding RNA of Etheostoma cragini (Arkansas darter), 99 nucleotides long. RefSeq lists it as uncharacterized. Lineage: Eukaryota; Metazoa; Chordata; Actinopteri; Perciformes; Percidae. The record is from RefSeq and is a predicted model, not a curated record. The transcript has 4 exons.